This 253-nucleotide ribosomal RNA is filed under the name uncultured bacterium. RNAcentral describes it as "partial 16S ribosomal RNA". It matches the Rfam family "Bacterial small subunit ribosomal RNA", at positions 524 to 776 of the family's 1533-position model. The record is from RNAcentral.
UACAGAGGUCCCAAGCGUUGUUCGGAUUCACUGGGCGUAAAGGGUGCGUAGGCGGUUGGGUAAGUCUGAUGUGAAAUCUCACAGCUUAACUGUGAAACUGCAUUGGAUACUAUCCGGCUAGAGGAAUGGAGGGGAGACUGGAAUACUUGGUGUAGCAGUGAAAUGCGUAGAUAUCAAGUGGAACACCAGUGGCGAAGGCGAGUCUCUGGACAUUUCCUGACGCUGAGGCGCGAAAGCCAGGGGAGCAAACGGG